AUUGAACGCUGGCGGCAGGCCUAACACAUGCAAGUCGAACGAGCGGCGGACGGGUGAGUAAUGUCUGGGAAACUGCCUGAUGGAGGGGGAUAACUACUGGAAACGGUAGCUAAUACCGCAUACCAUCAGAUGUGCCCAGAUGGGAUUAGCUGGUGGGUGGGGUAAAGGCUCACCAAGGCGACGAUCCCUAGCUGGUCUGAGAGGAUGAUCAGCAACACGGGAACGGAGACACGGCCCAGACGCCUACGGGAGGCAGCAGUGGGGAAUAUGGCACAAUGGGCGCAAGCCGGAUGCAGCCAUGCCGCGUGUAUGAAGAAGGCCUUCGGGUUGUAAAGUACUUUCAGCGGGGAGGCGUUACCCGCAGAAGAAGCACCGGCUAACUCCGUGCCAGCAGCCGCGGUAAUAC
This 406-nucleotide ribosomal RNA is filed under the name uncultured bacterium. Its description in RNAcentral is "partial 16S ribosomal RNA". It matches the Rfam family "Bacterial small subunit ribosomal RNA", at positions 29 to 526 of the family's 1533-position model. The record is from RNAcentral.